This 253-nucleotide ribosomal RNA is filed under the name uncultured bacterium. RNAcentral describes it as "partial 16S ribosomal RNA". It matches the Rfam family "Bacterial small subunit ribosomal RNA", at positions 524 to 776 of the family's 1533-position model. The record is from RNAcentral.
UACGUAGGGUGCAAGCGUUGUCCGGAAUUAUUGGGCGUAAAGAGCUCGUAGGCGGUCUGUCGCGUCGGCUGUGAAAACUCGGGGCUCAACUCCGAGCUUGCAGUCGAUACGGGCAGACUAGAGUGCGGUAGGGGAGACUGGAAUUCCUGGUGUAGCGGUGAAAUGCGCAGAUAUCAGGAGGAACACCGGUGGCGAAGGCGGGUCUCUGGGCCGUAACUGACGCUGAGGAGCGAAAGCGUGGGGAGCGAACAGG